Molecule: ribosomal RNA, 460 nt
Filed under: uncultured bacterium
Lineage: Bacteria
Description: partial 16S ribosomal RNA
Rfam family: Bacterial small subunit ribosomal RNA
Source: RNAcentral
CCUACGGGGUGCAGCAGUGAGGAAUAUUGGUCAAUGGACGGAAGUCUGAACCAGCCAUGCCGCGUGCAGGAAGACGGCUCUAUGAGUUGUAAACUGCUUUUGUACAGGUGUAAACCUGAAUACGUGUAUUCAGCUGAAAGUACUGUACGAAUAAGGAUCGGCUAACUCCGUGCCAGCAGCCGCGGUAAUACGUAGGUGGCAAGCGUUAUCCGGAUUUACUGGGUGUAAAGGGAGCGUAGAUGGGUUGUUAAGUCAGUUGUGAAAGUUUGCGGCUCAACCGUAAAAUUGCAAUUGAUACUGGCAGUCUUGAGUACAGUUGAGGUAGGCGGAAUUCGUGGUGUAGCGGUGAAAUGCUUAGAUAUCACGAAGAACCCCGAUUGCGAAGGCAGCUUACUAAACUGUGACUGACAUUGAUGCUCGAAAGUGUGGGUAUCAAACAGGAUUAGAUACCCGUGUAGUC